AACGAACGCUGGCGGCGCGUCUUAAGCAUGCAAGUCGAACGGCAAGAGAGGAGCUUGCUUCUCUCCUAGAGUGGCGGACUGGUGAGGAACACGUGGGUAAUCUACCCUUAAGAUGGGGAUAGCUGCUAGAAAUAGCAGGUAAUACCGAAUACACUCGGCAUAUCACAAGAGGUGUUGAGGAAAGGAAGCUACGGCUUCGCUUGAGGAUGAGCUUGCGUCCCAUUAGCUAGUUGGUGAGGUAAAGGCCCACCAAGGCGACGAUGGGUAUCCGGCCUGAGAGGGUGAACGGACACAUUGGGACUGGGAUACGGCCCAAACUCCUACGGGAGGCAGCAGCUAAGAAUAUUCCGCAAUGGACGGAAGUCUGACGGAGCGACGCCGCGUGGAUGAAGAAGGCUGAAAAGUUGUAAAAUCCUUUUGUUGAUGAAGAAUAAGGGUGAGAGGGAAUGCUCAGCUGAUGACGGUAAUCGACGAAUAAGCCCCGGCUAAUUACGUG
RNAcentral lists this ribosomal RNA (496 nucleotides) under uncultured bacterium. RNAcentral's name for it is "partial 16S ribosomal RNA". It matches the Rfam family "Bacterial small subunit ribosomal RNA", at positions 29 to 507 of the family's 1533-position model. The record is from RNAcentral.